GAGUGGAAAGUACUCGUAUGUUCACGGUGUUAAUUAGCACAAAUGAUCUUGAAUGCUAUUCACAGCAUUCAAGUCAAAUUUGAUUAUUGCAAUGAAAACAAUCCUUGAGUUAUCAUUUGUCAUUAUGUUCAUGUAUCCUACCCAGAUGACCCCAAAGUCAAGCAAAACACACAGGUCGAUGUCGAACCCCAGCCAGUGGACACUGAGAAUGAUGUUCCUGAUAUGCAACUAGACCUACAGAUUCCUGCUCCAUUCCAGCCAGAAAGUACACAGGCUGGCCACUUGAUACAAGCAGCUGUACAGAAGAGGGUGGCCCAGCUUGAAAUUGAACUUCAGGCGACGCGACGGAAGCUUCAACUUGCUCAGAGGCAGCAAUUCCAACCACUAACUGCAAAUAAGCGCCUUG
This is a long non-coding RNA of Rhipicephalus microplus (southern cattle tick), 406 nucleotides long. The record is from RefSeq and is a predicted model, not a curated record. Lineage: Eukaryota; Metazoa; Arthropoda; Arachnida; Ixodida; Ixodidae.